RNAcentral lists this ribosomal RNA (492 nucleotides) under uncultured bacterium. RNAcentral's name for it is "partial 16S ribosomal RNA". It matches the Rfam family "Bacterial small subunit ribosomal RNA", at positions 29 to 507 of the family's 1533-position model. The record is from RNAcentral.
AGUGAACGCUGGCGGUAGGCCUAACACAUGCAAGUCGAACGGCAGCACAGUAAGAGCUUGCUCUUACGGGUGGCGAGUGGCGGACGGGUGAGGAAUACAUCGGAAUCUACUUUUUCGUGGGGGAUAACGUAGGGAAACUUACGCUAAUACCGCAUACGACCUACGGGUGGAAGCAGGGGAUCUUCGGACCUUGCGCGAUUGAAUGAGCCGAUGUCGGAUUAGCUAGUUGGCGGGGUAACGGCCCACCAAGGCGACGAUCCGUAGCUGGUCUGAGAGGAUGAUCAGCCACACUGGAACUGAGACACGGUCCAGACUCCUACGGGAGGCAGCAGUGGGGAAUAUUGGACAAUGGGCGCAAGCCUGAUCCAGCCAUACCGCGUGGGUGAAGAAGGCCUUCGGGUUGUAAAGCCCUUUUGUUGGGAAAGAAAAGCAGCAGGUUAAUACCCCGCUGUUCUGACGGUACCCAAAGAAUAAGCACCGGCUAACUUCGUG